UAUGUGAUCGUCUCUCGCAUAUCAAUAAGCGGAGGAAAAGAAACUAACAAGGAUCCCCUAGUAACGGCGAGUGAAGCGGGAAGAGCUCAAAUUUGAAAUCUUAAAGGGUUUCCCUUUACGAAUUGUAGUUUAAAGAAGUGUUUUCUGUUGAGGUUUUGGUAAAAGUUCUUUGGAAUAGGACAUCAUAGAGGGUGAGAAUCCCGUAUUUGACCUUUACUUUCAACUUUGUGAUACGCUUUCAAAGAGUCGGAUUGUUUGGGAAUGCAGUCCAAAAUGGGUGGUAAAUUUCAUCUAAAGCUAAAUAUUGGCGAGAGACCGAUAGCGAACAAGUACCGUGAGGGAAAGAUGAAAAGAACUUUGAAAAGAGAGUUAAACAGUACGUGAAAUUGUCAAAAGGGAAGCGUUUGACACCAGUGUUGUUUUUCUGAAAAUCAAUUAAAGAACUGUUUAUGCUAAGCUUGUUUAGACUUUAUCAGCUAAUCUGUUUAGUUUUGAGCUUUCUUUAAUGCACUUUUCAGUUAACAAGUCAACAUCAAUUUCUUUUGCUGUAAAAAAGCUUGAGGAAGGUGGCUUGAGAUUCGUCUUAAGUGUUUGUAGCCUCUUGCCUAUGCAGUCGGAGAGAUUGAGGUCUGCAGCGUAGAUCCUUCGGGGCUAAAUGCAUUUGUGCUAAGUUAUAGCAUUUUAUAGACAACUUGUUGACUAUGAUUUGUCUUGUAGCUUACUCGCUUAUGUUAUUUUACCUACGCUUAGGAUGUUGAGCGCAUGUCUCUCUCU
This 774-nucleotide ribosomal RNA is filed under the name uncultured Neocallimastigales. Its description in RNAcentral is "partial large subunit ribosomal RNA". It matches the Rfam family "Eukaryotic large subunit ribosomal RNA", at positions 24 to 616 of the family's 3401-position model. The record is from RNAcentral. Lineage: Eukaryota; Fungi; Neocallimastigomycota; Neocallimastigomycetes; Neocallimastigales.